CCCCUUGUGGUGUAGUUGGCUAUCACGUUCGGCUGUAAACAUACCGAAAGGUCACCGGCUCGAUUCCGGUCGAGGGGA
Molecule: transfer RNA, 78 nt
Filed under: Thermochaetoides thermophila DSM 1495
Lineage: Eukaryota; Fungi; Ascomycota; Sordariomycetes; Sordariales; Chaetomiaceae
Description: Chaetomium thermophilum var. thermophilum DSM 1495 tRNA-Tyr
Source: RNAcentral